This is a non-coding RNA of Vicia faba (fava bean), 198 nucleotides long. NCBI's taxonomy places the organism in Eukaryota, Viridiplantae, Streptophyta, Magnoliopsida, Fabales, Fabaceae. The record is from the annotation of a GenBank genome assembly.
AUGUGUUCAAGAAUAAAAUAUUUUGAAACUUUGAAGAUGGUUAAGGUGGAGUUGUUCGCCUUGGUGAUAAUAAAGCUUGCAAGGUUCGUGGUAUUGGUACGAUCAGAUUUAAAAUGUUUGAUGAUCGUGAACUUCUUAUUCACAAGUGAGGUAUGUUCCACAACUCAUGCGAAAUUUGUUAUCUAUAAGUAUGUUUAA